AAUAGAUACCCUGGUAGUCCACGCCCUAAACGAUGUCUACUAGUUGUUGGUGGAGUAAAAUCCAUUAGUAACGCAGCUAACGCGUGAAGUAGACCGCCUGGGGAGUACGGUCGCAAGAUUAAAACUCAAAGGAAUUGACGGGGGGCCCGCACAAGCGGUGGAUUAUGUGGAUUAAUUCGAUGCAACGCGAAAAACCUUACCUGGCCUUGACAUGCCACUAACGAAGCAGAGAUGCAUUAGGUGCCCGAAAGGGAAAGUGGACACAGGUGCUGCAUGGCUGUCGUCAGCUCGUGUCGUGAGAUGUUGGGCUAAGUCCCGCAACGAGCGCAACCCUUGCCAAUAAUUGCCAUCAUUCAGUUGGGCACUUUAUUGGGACUGCCGGUGACAAACCGGAGGAAGGUGGGGAUGACGUCAAGUCCUCAUGGCCCUUAUGGCCAGGGCUUCACACGUAAUACAAUGGUCGGUACAGAGGGUAGCCAAGCCGCGAGGUGGAGCCAAUCCCAGAAAGCCGAUCGUAGUCCGGAUUGC
Molecule: ribosomal RNA, 528 nt
Filed under: uncultured bacterium
Lineage: Bacteria
Description: bacterial SSU rRNA
Rfam family: Bacterial small subunit ribosomal RNA
Source: RNAcentral